GGCCUGGAAGCUCACGUCCUCCCUGUUGGACAGCCCUCUCUGCCAUGGAAGGGAGUGGGUAGGAGACAGGGCAAUGCUGGAGACAAGAGUGGAGGCUUUGCCGCAAGGCCCCUCUGGGAGUAUCCUGUGCAGCUUUGGGCAAUGAACUUAACCAGCCUUAGUUGCCCAUUCUGCAAAAUGGGGCUGAUAUCACUACCAACCUCACCGUGUAGGGUGGAGAAAUGCUACUCAGUGCAUGAGUCGUGCCUUGCAAAGGACUCGGAAUACAGUGAGCAGAGCGUUCAAGGGGGUCCUCCUGCCCGCCCACCCAGGGACCAGCCCAAGACGGGACCCAGGAACUGUGGUCACCAUCCUCUAAAAUGACGCCAAUGACCCCACCUCCGGUAGUCACACCCCGUGUAGUCCCCUCCCACACUAUGCCAGGGUGGAUCUUCAGGAGCCAAAAGAAUACAGCAGAAGUGACAGCAUCUCACGUCUGAGCCUAGCUUAGGACAGAUGGUGCCUCUUGUCUUUCCUCAGCUCAUCCCUGGGAGUGGCCAGCUGCCACAUCCCGAGGACACGUGGGCAACCUGUGGCCACGUGGUGAGGACUGAGGUGCCAUCAAGGCCUGCCAAGGACCACAGGGCAGCCGGGAAGUGGCUCCUGCCCCAGGUCAGCCUUCUCGGGAGUGCCUGCGGGAACGGGGGCGGGACCACGUGCUAAGCCCCGCCCCAGGACCAGGAGAGGAUAGGUGCUCCUGGCAGGCAAGAAGAUGCCACUCAGGACAGUUUCCCAGCAGGAGAUAACUGCACUACCCUGCCCCCACGUGGGCAGAGCAAGAGGGGCACCUGGCAGCGUGUCCCCAGUGAGGCACUGUCCUGAGCCUAUUUCCUCAGCAGUAAAAGAAGAGCCCCAAGGGGCCUCCCCAGGGCUGACAGGAUGGCCAACAGAAGUGAGCUCCAAGCCAGGGGCUUGUUAGGUAAGGAGGGGGGUCCCCUGUCUGCUGUGAAAACAUCCAGCUGUCACCCACCCAGAAGGCUCCACUCACAUGACUCCAAUGCCACUCUUUACAGCCAAGUCUUGUCAUUGCUGAGGGACACCAGACAGUCCUGGGUUUUGGUUUUGGUUUUUUAUGAAACUGUGUUUGGCGGUGGUGAUUGUUCUAGAAUCACUGUCUUCUCAUGAUACAAAACUAAAAGAGCUCAAAACCCUGUGGCAUAAAAGGUGACCAUCUUUCCUUACUCUUUGGUCUAAACUGUCUCACUCACAGAUAGCU
Molecule: long non-coding RNA, 1255 nt
Filed under: Marmota monax (woodchuck)
Lineage: Eukaryota; Metazoa; Chordata; Mammalia; Rodentia; Sciuridae
Source: RNAcentral